ACUUAACUUUGGAUAUCUCAAGAGCUUCCCCACAAGUGGCUCUUCUUCAGCUGCUGCAGGUCACAGUUCUGGUUGCAUGUCAGCAGCUGUGCACUGCUAUGGUCAUGCCCACAGAAUGUCUUGGAAUCGUGUCCCAGUGUUGGCUGUUCAGCUGCACGGCAAUGAGGUCAAGAAGCUGAGCUUUACCUCUGAAUUUUCCUUCUUUUCCAGAGAAAGAUUUCAUCCAAGAUUUCUCCUCAGACAUAGAGAUCAAUUUUACUGAUGGCUCCCUUCUUGGAAUCCUGUUCCAUCAAACAUCUGACCUGCAAACAGCUUUGUUCCUGAAGCAGGACCGUGGGACGGCCAGGGCUGCACACAGCAGUGGCACAGCUGCCCCAGGGAAAGCUCCCUGUCAGCUCUGGAUGCUUGGAAUCUGUGCUCUGCUGGGGUAAACUGGCAAAGAGACACCGGUUUCUGUGAUGUUAUUGCUAUUUCCGGUAUCUGUUUGACUCCUUCAGGGCAGAGGAUGGGAUCUGGGGGAGAAGUGUGGAUGCUCACAGGGGAGGGAGCCACGGGAAGUUGUCCCAGAUGCAGUUUGGGCUGGUGGUUCCAAGCAAAGGCAGGAGUGGUGUCACCACCGACAAACCAUCCUGCACCAUCUGGUGAGUGAUCCUGGGGUCUGCUCAAGAGCCAUUUUAAAAAGCUUGGCUCAGGUGACAUCUGAUUUCAC
RNAcentral lists this long non-coding RNA (709 nucleotides) under Parus major (Great Tit). RNAcentral's name for it is "lncRNA (ENSPMJG00000017257.1)". Lineage: Eukaryota; Metazoa; Chordata; Aves; Passeriformes; Paridae. The record is from RNAcentral.